UGGGUGACGAAGUGGUUGAUGCCAUGCUUCCAAGAAAAGCUUCUAAGCUUCAGGUAACCAGGAACCGUACCCCAAACCGACACAGGUGGUUGGGUAGAGAAUACCAAGGCGCUUGAGAGAACUCGGGUGAAGGAACUAGGCAAAAUGGCACCGUAACUUCGGGAGAAGGUGCGCCGGUGAGGGUGAAGCACUUGCUGCGUAAGCCCACGCCGGUCGAAGAUACCAGGCCGCUGCGACUGUUUAUUAAAAACACAGCACUCUGCAAACACGAAAGUGGACGUAUAGGGUGUGACGCCUGCCCGGUGCCGGAAGGUUAAUUGAUGGGGUUAGCUAACGCGAAGCUCUUGAUCGAAGCCCCGGUAAACGGCGGCCGUAACUAUAACGGUCCUAAGGUAGCGAAAUUCCUUGUCGGGUAAGUUCCGACCUGCACGAAUGGCGUAACGAUGGCGGCGCUGUCUCCACCCGAGACUCAGUGAAAUUGAAAUCGCUGUGAAGAUGCAGUGUAUCCGCGGCUAGACGGAAAGACCCCGUGAACCUUUACUAUAGCUUUGCACUGGACUUUGAAUUUGCUUGUGUAGGAUAGGUGGGAGGCUUUGAAGCGUGGACGCCAGUUCGCGUGGAGCCAUCCUUGAAAUACCACCCUGGCAACUUUGAGGUUCUAACUCAGGUCCGUCAUCCGGAUCGAGGACAGUGUAUGGUGGGUAGUUUGACUGGGGCGGUCUCCUCCUAAAGAGUAACGGAGGAGUACGAAGGUGCGCUCAGACCGGUCGGAAAUCGGUCGUAGAGUAUAAAGGCAAAAGCGCGCUUGACUGCGAGACAGACACGUCGAGCAGGUACGAAAGUAGGUCUUAGUGAUCCGGUGGUUCUGUAUGGAAGGGCCAUCGCUCAACGGAUAAAAGGUACUCCGGGGAUAACAGGCUGAUACCGCCCAAGAGUUCAUAUCGACGGCGGUGUUUGGCACCUCGAUGUCGGCUCAUCACAUCCUGGGGCUGAAGCCGGUCCCAAGGGUAUGGCUGUUCGCCAUUUAAAGUGGUACGCGAGCUGGGUUUAGAACGUCGUGAGACAGUUCGGUCCCUAUCUGCCGUGGACGUUUGAGAUUUGAGAGGGGCUGCUCCUAGUACGAGAGGACCGGAGUGGACGAACCUCUGGUGUUCCGGUUGUCACGCCAGUGGCAUUGCCGGGUAGCUAUGUUCGGGAAAGAUAACCGCUGAAAGCAUCUAAGCGGGAAACUUGCCUCAAGAUGAGAUCUCACUGGGACCUUGAGUCCCCUGAAGGGCCGUCGAAGACUACGACGUUGAUAGGCAGGGUGUGUAAGCGCUGUGAGGCGUUGAGCUAACCUGUACUAAUUGCCCGUGAGGCUUGACCAU
Molecule: ribosomal RNA, 1367 nt
Filed under: Pseudomonas sp. NFACC13-1
Lineage: Bacteria; Pseudomonadati; Pseudomonadota; Gammaproteobacteria; Pseudomonadales; Pseudomonadaceae
Description: bacterial LSU rRNA
Rfam family: Bacterial large subunit ribosomal RNA
Source: RNAcentral